UAAAACAUGUUCUAAUAAUUACAUACAUUGUUUACAAUGCAUGAUUGAUAUGUUUAUUUAAUUUUUUAUAUAAGUAUAUUUCUUUGUUAUAGUUUUACCAUGACAAGUCUGAUCAAAUUGGAGUUUCUAGCUCUUGAUAUCAAUGGUAAUAAUUAUUUAUCAUGGAUGCUUGAUGCUGAAAUUCAUUUGGAUAUCAUGAAUCUUGGAGAAACGGCUAAAGAAGGAAAUAAGACUUCUAGUCAAGAAACCAUGAUUUUUCUUUGACAUCAUUUUCAUGAGGGAUUAAAGAUUGAAUAUCUUACAGUAAAGAUCCCUAUAUCCUAUGGCAAAGUUUGAAAGAAAGAACAAAACAAUGAGCUAUUAAUGAAAAAUCAUGAAUCCCGGCCAACUGCAGCAACACCAUUCCCUAAAGUGAAUGCUUUAAUUUCAAAUAAUCAUGGUUGAGGUCGAGGUCGUGGUACAUGGUAAUAAUCAUUCAGAUUUCAAGAAAACCACAAAUACUGAUGAUCAUAGAGGGAAAACUCCACAAAAUAAGAGCUCUAACAAUCUUGAAAUUCAAUGCUUUUGAUGUGGUAUGAAGGGGCAUUGUUCUUGUAUCUGUCGUACGACCAAACACUUAGUUGAUCUCUAUCAAGCUUCAUUGAAGGAGAAAGGGAUAAGUGUUGAAUAUCCUAUUUCUCAUGUUCAUACACAAAAGGUUUAGCUUAAUCAUUUAUCAAACAUUCAUAAUGGUAGACCAUUACUUUUGAGAGCAGAACUUCCAAUAUUUUUUUUAUGGGGUCAUGCUAUUUUGCAUGCAACGUUGCUUAUAUGCAUCAUACUGAUAUCUUAUCAUAAGUACUCCCCAGUACAAUUAGCUUAUGACCAGGAGCCAAAUAUUUUCCAUUUGCGAUUUUUUUAUUGAGCAGUCCAGUUGUCCUACCACAACAUAUUAAAAUGGGACCUCAAAGAAGGUUAGAAAUAUAUGUUGGAUUUGAUUCCUCAUCAAUUAUUAGAUAUCUUGAACCCCUCACAAAA
Benincasa hispida (wax gourd) is the source of this 1017-nucleotide non-coding RNA. The record is from RefSeq and is a predicted model, not a curated record. NCBI's taxonomy places the organism in Eukaryota, Viridiplantae, Streptophyta, Magnoliopsida, Cucurbitales, Cucurbitaceae.